UACGAAGGGGGCUAGCGUUGCUCGGAAUUACUGGGCGUAAAGGGCGCGUAGGCGGGUCGUUAAGUUAGAGGUGAAAGCCCAGGGCUCAACCCUGGAAUUGCCUUUGAUACUGGCGACCUUGAGUAUGGCAGAGGUGUGUGGAACUCCGAGUGUAGAGGUGAAAUUCGUAGAUAUUCGGAAGAACACCAGUGGCGAAGGCGACACACUGGGCCAUUACUGACGCUGAGGAGCGAAAGCGUGGGGAGCGAACAGG
RNAcentral lists this ribosomal RNA (253 nucleotides) under uncultured bacterium. RNAcentral describes it as "partial 16S ribosomal RNA". It matches the Rfam family "Bacterial small subunit ribosomal RNA", at positions 524 to 776 of the family's 1533-position model. The record is from RNAcentral.